RNAcentral lists this unclassified non-coding RNA (22 nucleotides) under Mus musculus (house mouse). RNAcentral's name for it is "oocyte_clustered_small_RNA12891". Lineage: Eukaryota; Metazoa; Chordata; Mammalia; Rodentia; Muridae. The record is from RNAcentral.
UGUCUGUGGAGCAUUUCUUUAA